GAAAUGCGAUACGUAGUGUGAAUUGCAGAAUUCAGUGAACCAUCGAAUCUUUGAACGCACCUUGCGGCCGCCGGUAAUCCGGCGGCCAUGCCCGUCCGAGCGUCGUUUCGACACUCGGGGCCCCCCCCCACUAACCUGGGGGGCGCCCCGGCAUUGGGCCAGCGCGGAGUCGCCCCUCGGGGCGCCGCGCGGCCCGCAGUCCAGCGGCGGCAGCACCGGAGAGUACCCCUGCGCAGUAUCUUACGCUCGCAUUGGUCCCCCGGCGCGGCCCGCCUCGAAACCCCAUAUUCUAAAUGUCGACCUCGGAUCGGGUAGGGAUACCCGCUAAACUUAA
Molecule: unclassified non-coding RNA, 334 nt
Filed under: uncultured Pezizomycotina
Lineage: Eukaryota; Fungi; Ascomycota
Description: sequence contains ITS1
Rfam family: 5.8S ribosomal RNA (bases 1-105)
Source: RNAcentral